GAUGAACGCUAGCGGCAGGCUUAAUACAUGCAAGACGAACGGUAAGUUUGGUAGCAAUACUAGACCUAGAGUGUCGUACGGGUGCGUAACACGUAUGCAACCUACCUUGUACAGGAGUAUAGCUCGGGGAAACUCGAAUUAACCCUCCAUAAUGUAGCGGAGAGGCAUCUCUUUGCUACUAAAACUGAGGUGGUACAAGAUGGGCAUGCGUUUGAUUAGUUAGUUGGCAGUGUAAUGGACUACCAAGACGAUGAUCAAUAGGGGACCUGAGAGGGUGAUCCCCCACACUGGCACUGAGAUACGGGCCAGACUCCUACGGGAGGCAGCAGUAGGGAAUAUUGGACAAUGGGUGAGAGCCUGAUCCAGCCAUGCCGCGUGCAGGAAGAAGGCGUUAUGCGUUGUAAACUGCUUUUGCCAGGGGAUAAAAAGACCGUGCGCGGUUAAUUGAAGGUACCUGGUGAAUAAGCCACGGCUAACUACGUGC
This 484-nucleotide ribosomal RNA is filed under the name uncultured bacterium. Its description in RNAcentral is "bacterial SSU rRNA". It matches the Rfam family "Bacterial small subunit ribosomal RNA", at positions 28 to 508 of the family's 1533-position model. The record is from RNAcentral.